UGUGACACAUGGUAAUUGAAU
RNAcentral lists this non-coding RNA (21 nucleotides) under Caenorhabditis elegans. The record is from RNAcentral. Lineage: Eukaryota; Metazoa; Nematoda; Chromadorea; Rhabditida; Rhabditidae.